UACGUAGGGUGCGAGCGUUUGUCCGGAAUUAUUGGGCGUAAAGAGCUCGUAGGCGGUGUGUCACGUCGGCCGUGAAAAACCUGCAGCUUAACUGUGGGCGUGCGGUCGAUACGGGCAUCACUGGAGUUCGGCAGGGGAGACUGGAAUUCCUGGUGUAGCGGUGAAAUGCGCAGAUAUCAGGAGGAACACCGGUGGCGAAGGCGGGUCUCUGGGCCGAUACUGACGCUGAGGAGCGAAAGCGUGGGGGAGCAAACAGG
RNAcentral lists this ribosomal RNA (257 nucleotides) under uncultured bacterium. RNAcentral's name for it is "partial 16S ribosomal RNA". It matches the Rfam family "Bacterial small subunit ribosomal RNA", at positions 524 to 776 of the family's 1533-position model. The record is from RNAcentral.